GACGAACGCUGGCGGCGUGCCUAAUACAUGCAAGUAGAACGCAGUUGCGAACGGGUGAGUAACGCGUAGGUAACUGCCUCAUAGCGGGGGAUAACUAUUGGAAACGAAAGCUAAUACCGCAUACGGUGAGAUGGACCUGCGUUGUAUUAGGUAGUUGGUGAGGUAAAGGCCCACCAAGGCGACGAUACAUAGCCGACUUGAGCGGUUGAUCGGCCAGCCUGUGACUGAGUCACGUCCCAGACUCCUACGGGCGGCAGCAGUAGGGAAUCUUCGGCAAUGGACGGAAGUCUGACCGAGCAACGCCGCGUGCGUGAAGACGGUUUUCGGGUCGUAAAGCUCUGUUGUUAGGGAGGCGGUAACUAACCAGAAAGGGACGGCUAACUACGUGCCAGCAGCCGCGGUAAUUC
Molecule: ribosomal RNA, 407 nt
Filed under: uncultured bacterium
Lineage: Bacteria
Description: partial 16S ribosomal RNA
Rfam family: Bacterial small subunit ribosomal RNA
Source: RNAcentral